This 218-nucleotide ribosomal RNA is filed under the name Penicillium corylophilum. Its description in RNAcentral is "partial 28S ribosomal RNA". It matches the Rfam family "Eukaryotic large subunit ribosomal RNA", at positions 1 to 217 of the family's 3401-position model. The record is from RNAcentral. Lineage: Eukaryota; Fungi; Ascomycota; Eurotiomycetes; Eurotiales; Aspergillaceae.
UUGACCUCGGAUCAGGUAGGGAUACCCGCUGAACUUAAGCAUAUCAAUAAGCGGAGGAAAAGAAACCAACAGGGAUUGCCUCAGUAACGGCGAGUGAAGCGGCAAGAGCUCAAAUUUGAAAGCUGGCCCCCUCGGGGUCCGCAUUGUAAUUUGCAGAGGAUGCUUCGGGAGUGGCCCCCAUCUAAGUGCUCUGGAACGGGCCGUCAUAGAGGGUGAGA